Molecule: ribosomal RNA, 465 nt
Filed under: uncultured bacterium
Lineage: Bacteria
Description: partial 16S ribosomal RNA
Rfam family: Bacterial small subunit ribosomal RNA
Source: RNAcentral
CCUACGGGAGGCAGCAGUGGGGAAUAUUGCGCAAUGGGCGAAAGCCUGACGCAGCGACGCCGCGUGAGGGAUGAAGGUCUUCGGAUCGUAAACCUCUGUCAGCAGGGCAGAACGGUCACUGUGCUAAUCAGCAGUGAAUUGACGGUACCUGCAAAGGACGCACCGGCUAACUCCUUGCCAGCAGCCGCGGGAAUACGGAGGGUGCGAGCGUUAAUCGGAAUGACUGGGCGUAAAGCGCUCGUAGGCGGUCUGUCAAGUCAAGGGUGAAAUCCCCGCGCUCAACGUGGGAACUGCCUUUGAAACUGGCAAACUGGAGUGUGUGAGAGGAUAGUGGAAUUCCAGGUGUAGGAGUGAAAUCCGUAGAUAUCUGGAGGAACAUCAGUGGCGAAGGCGACUAUCUGGCACAUAACUGACGCUGAGGAGCGAAAGCGUGGGUAGCAAACAGGAUUAGAUACCCGAGUAGUC